UACGAAGGGGGCUAGCGUUGUUCGGAAUUACUGGGCGUAAAGGGCGCGUAGGCGGCGCAGCAAGUCAGAUGUGAAAGCCCCGGGCUCAACCUGGGAACAGCAUUUGAGACUGUUGUGCUUGAGUUCCGGAGAGGUGGGUGGAAUUCCCAGUGUAGAGGUGAAAUUCGUAGAUAUUGGGAAGAACACCGGUGGCGAAGGCGGCCCACUGGACGGAUACUGACGCUGAGGCG
Molecule: ribosomal RNA, 230 nt
Filed under: uncultured microorganism
Description: partial 16S ribosomal RNA
Rfam family: Bacterial small subunit ribosomal RNA
Source: RNAcentral